This 1002-nucleotide ribosomal RNA is filed under the name Triticum aestivum (bread wheat). RNAcentral describes it as "partial small subunit ribosomal RNA". Lineage: Eukaryota; Viridiplantae; Streptophyta; Magnoliopsida; Poales; Poaceae. The record is from RNAcentral.
AUGACCGCCGGCUCCCGACGGAGGCCCCCGCCGCCCCGCCGCCGCGCCUCCCCCAUGGCGCCUUCCCCCCUCUCCGUAUCCUCCACCAACGCCUCCCCGCCGCCGCGCCGCCUCCGCCGCACGGCCGUCGCGGCCGCCGGCGCCGCGCUCGCGACGCUCCUCCUCCUCGCCGCGGCCGCCGCCGUCUGGCGCCCGGGCUACCUCCCCGCCGCGCUCCUCCGCCGGCCGCCGCCCGCCGCCGCCAGGUUCUACUCCUUCGACCUGGUCCGCGAGUACCCGCACGACCCCAAGGCCUUCACCCAGGGCCUCCUGUACGGGGGGAACGACACUCUCUUCGAGUCCACCGGUCUCUAUCACCAGUCGUCGGUCCGAAAGGUUGAUCUUCAAACUGGGAAAGUUUUAGAGCAGCACCGAAUGGAUGGAUGGAUGUUUGGAGAAGGCCUUACACUUCUAGGCGACAGAUUGUUUCAAGUUACUUGGCGGAAGAAUGAUGGAUUCAUAUACGACCGGCAUAACUUUAGCAUACGUGAGAGUUUUACCCAUAAAAUGCGUGACGGGUGGGGGCUAGCCACCGAUGGAAAAAUUCUAUUUGGCAGUGAUGGCACCUCAAGUUUGUACCAGCUGGAUCCAGAAUCACUUGAAGUGACGAAGACAGUAACAGUGAAAUAUCAAGACAAUGCUGUUUCCUUUAUUAAUGAACUGGAGUAUAUAAAUGGUGAAGUAUGGGCAAAUGUCUGGCAGACAGAUUGCAUAGCUAGAGUUUCCCAUGAGGAUGGCCAAGUGGCGAGCUGGAUCUUUCUUCAUGAGCUUAGGCAGCAAUUGUGGGAUUCUGGCAACACGGCCAUUGAUGUUCUAAACGGUAUAGCUUGGGACGAAGAAAAGAACAGAUUGUUUGUGACCGGGAAAUUAUGGCCAAAGCUUUAUGAGAUCAAGCUUCGCCCAGUCGACGGGCCACCGAACGGGUCUGUGGAGAGGCUGUGCCCAAGGGCAAGCUUUUAUUGA